AACGAACGCUGGCGGCAUGCCUAACACAUGCAAGUCGAACGAGACCUUCGGGUCUAGUGGCGCACGGGUGCGUAACGCGUGGGAACCUGCCCUUAGGUGCGGAAUAACUCCCCGAAAGGGGUGCUAAUACCGGAUAAUGUCGUCGGACCAAAGAUUUAUCGCCUUUGGAUGGGCCCGCGUUGGAUUAGCUAGUUGGUAGGGUAAAAGCCUACCAAGGCGACGAUCCAUGGCUGGUCUGAGAGGAUGAUCAGCCACACUGGGACUGAGACACGGCCCAGACUCCUACGGGAGGCAGCAGUGGGGAAUAUUGGACGAUGGGCGAAAGCCUGAUCCAGCAAUGCCGCGUGAGUGAUGAAGGCCUUAGGGUUGUAAAGCUCUUUUACCCGGGAUGAUAAUGACAGUACCGGGAGAAUAAGCUCCGGCUAACUCCGUG
This 433-nucleotide ribosomal RNA is filed under the name uncultured bacterium. RNAcentral's name for it is "partial 16S ribosomal RNA". It matches the Rfam family "Bacterial small subunit ribosomal RNA", at positions 29 to 507 of the family's 1533-position model. The record is from RNAcentral.